Cyprinus carpio carpio is the source of this 3946-nucleotide long non-coding RNA. The record is from Ensembl. Lineage: Eukaryota; Metazoa; Chordata; Actinopteri; Cypriniformes; Cyprinidae.
CUUUCCUUUCCUUUCCUUUCCUUUCCUUUUCUUUUUGCUGUCCAGACUUUCAAAAAAAACAUCUCAAUAAUACGCCCCUUUGGUGCUUGGCCCCUAUAUACAAAUAUUAAAUAAAAUAAAGCCUUUAUUAGUGAAUUGAUUUAAAAGACUUAAUGAUUUUUUUUAAACAUAGCUUAUUAAUAAUACCAAAUGACUUAAACUUGAAAAUAGCCUAUCUAUACAUUUGUUAAUGAAAAUAGACACUUAUUUAGGGUGAGUCAAUUAGGAUUUUAUUUUUGGAAGAACUAUCCCUUUAGGGCCAGUGAUGGAGUACUCGAGUCCUGGACACAGACUCGAGUCCGACUCAAGUCACUAUUCUUUGGACUCGAGUCCGACUCGAGACUCCAUUCUCUGGACUCGUGACUCGACUUGGACUCGCGGACUGAUGACUUGUACUUGGACUCGGACUCGAGGAUAUCUAAAAUCAGACUUGAGGAUUCAUCAUGUUGUUUUUGACUAAAUAUGUUAUAAAAAAAAAAUUAUAUAAGGUAUUACACUUUUCCUGUUUCGUGCCCAAGACCGGCCGGGAUCUAUUUUUUUCCCUCACAGACACUGCUACCACUCGCUCUCUUUGCUUGACAACAGACUCACUGACGUCACUCACUUUACGCUUGUGCAUGAUUCGGAGGCUAAAUGUUCACAUUUGGAAAAUGCAGAAAGAUGUGCCCCGGAUCGUGAACUUCGCCUACACAAAUUUUGCAUCUAAUGCUGGAAAGAGCAGCGCUAAAUGUUGUGUGUGUAAUCGCACAAUUGAGGAAAAGACUGGGACAACUUCAAACUUUAACAGACACCUGUCAUGGAUGCACCCAGAAAAAAGAAAGAAACUCAUAAGUUUGCAACUUGAAGAUGACACAAUUUCCAUUUUUGGGCAGGGGCGCCCCCAAGGGGUGGCCACGGCCACCACUGUAUAAACUCUGGCCACCCCUGUGGCCACCCCUAGGAUGAUUUGCAGUGGCUACUAUUAAUUUAAAUCUAUUUAUUUUAGAUCUAUAUAAUUUAUAUAUCAUUUAAUAUAGUUACUAUCACACGAAGAGUGACGUUUUUCUCCAGAAGUCUGCAUAAUUGCAAAUGUGACAUUGAUUUUAUACAACAGUUCAAUAAACAAGAAGUUAAUAUCAAGAGUUUUACGUUUUAGACAACAUAUUCACUUUUUGCGCUCUAUUUCUAAAAACAAAAAUCAUUCCAAACACAGCCACUGUUUUGCGUCUCUGAGCAACAUGAUAGUGUUUCGUUCCUGAAUGAAUCAAACGUUUAAAUGAUUCGGUUCAAUCGCAAUGACUCACUUAUUAACAGUGACUCGCUGCCACCUACUGGCUGUUUUAAUUUUUACAUUUAAGGUACCAUUUCAUUUUUUAAACAAUUUCAAACAUCAGUUUUCAAUGUUUUAUGUUUAAAAUAUCAAAACAUUAUUUAUUAAUUUGUAACUCCAGGUUAAAGUAUUCCAUGUCCCUCAGAGCUCCAUUAAACAGUGUGUAAAAACAUCUAAAUGACACUUCAGAUGCAGUUUCUGUUUUCUCUGCAUUGCAAAGAUCAAUUUUGUUGAUACUGAUCGCAUUUGCUCGGUAACAGCCCAAAUGCAAGUGUCUGACUUAAAAGAUGGUGCACACUUUUAGAAAAAAAUGGCGUAAAGGUUAAAAAAAAAAAAAAGCCUCAGCUGUCAGCACACUUAGAAAUAAGAUAUCAGCACAACAACACACACAGCAAAAUAUUGUCUAAUUUUCGUUAUCGAUAAAAUCCCAGAAAUCACAGAGAUAUCAUAUUUUGGCAAUAUUGCAAACCCUUUAUUUAUUUAUUUAUUUUUUGAUGUGCCACCCCAAGAUUUACUGUGGCCUCAUCUGGCCACCCCUAUUAAAAUUUUCUGGGGGCGCCACUGUUUUUGGGUGAACUUUCCCUUAUGUAAGCAGUUUUCGUAUAAGUAGCCUACAAGGAGUACUGCAGUGAAGGUACACAUAGUUCACAUAAAUUCACAUAAAACAUAUUUGCAUACUAUACUUUGUGAUGUAAAUAUGUAAAAUAUCACAUAUUUUAUGAAUAGGCAUAUAUUGAUUAGGUCAAAUGGAAAAACCCUGACAAAAGUCCUUUAUAUUCAUGAAAUUAAUGAUAUUCUUUAUGAUUAUUUAAAUAAUAAUCAUGUGUAGGCUACACCCAUGAUUGUUUUAUUUAUUUACUUAUUAUUGAACAUGCAUUAUGUUUUAGGUGGGAUAUAAUGAAAGCAAAAGGCAAACAAGACCAAUAACCUUGAUUUAUUAACCUGUUAACACAGUAUACACCAUUUCCCCUUGAUAUGUACUUACAAGUCAUUUGCCCACUGGCAACUAUAGUUGCUGCUUGGACAUUUGACUAAGUAUACAAAAAACUAAAGAUCUCCUGGAAGAUUUGUUUUGUUUGGAUGAUUCUAGAAACCUUCAUGAUUAUGUAGAUAUAUAUAUGUCAACAAAAAAUACUUAUUAGUAAUAUGAAAAUUACAUUUCUUUGGGAGGGUUUGCCUUCGCCAUGCUUCCUGGAAGUAGGGGUAGAAACUUAACAGCCUCAUGUAACAGGAAGGAAGUGAAUAUCUUGAAAUCCUUUAUUUGGUUGUUUGCUUGCAUGUCAUUGAGAAAUAAAACAUGGAUAACAUCUAGAAAAAUACUUACAAAAGGAAAAUGACAAGUAUAAACUGCGGCAACUAUAGUUGCCGGUGGGCUUAAAUGGGUUUAAUGCUUGCCUAUAUAAGCUGUUUGUUCACAAUCUUACUUUGUUAAGUCUUGUGUUCUAGUUGCAUUUCUGAGUGCUUAAUCUGGUUUCGUGUUACUGUCUCUGAAUUUCCUGCCUGCUUUUUCAUGGCUGCAGAGGCUGCUCUUGAACUCACUGUUUGUCAAUGUAAUGACCAUGGAGCUCAUCCCUGAACUCACUGCCUGUCCUGUUAUGGCCACAGAGGCCAUUUCUAACCUCUUUGUGCUCUUUUACAGUUCUGCCCAAACCACAUUGUUUUCUCAACUAAAGCAAACACUGAUCUCGACAAUAGUAAUUUCAAAUAAAGCACAAUAAAACAUCAACAUCUAAACCUGUUAAUUCUCAAUGAGAGCUUCUCUAGAAGUCUAACAAAAAUAAAUUUGGUCUUGUUAGUAAUGCAGGAUGCUGGUAAUGCAGUUUGUGGAGUUGUUUAAUCCUCCUCUGCUAAAAUCCUGAGAGAUUUAUUGUCUUUUAUUUGUAGAUGAUUUCAGGCUGUGUGGCUUUAAAGGGUUACUCCACUGCAAAAUGAAAAUUUUGUCAUUAAUCACUUACCCCCAUGUCGUUCCAAAUCCGUAAAAGCUUUGUUCGUCUUCGGAACACAAUUUUAAGAUAUUUUGGAUGAAAAUCGGCUUGAGACUGUCCCAUAGACUGCCAAAUAAAUAACAGUGUCAAGGUCCAGGAAAGUAUGAAAAGCAUCGUCAGAAUAGUCCAUCUGCCAUUGUUAUAUAUUAUAAAACAAGUGGAGCAGUGUGAUUUGAGGGUUAACCUUAUUUUGUGGGAAAAUGAUUUUGUUAUAGCAAUGUGUACUCUUAACCUUUUUUAUAUAUAUAUUUGUUUGUUGUGGAUUAAUUGUAUGGUGUGCUGUGGUUUUUCUCUUGUUUGCUGUGGUGUUUUGGAUUUUUGGUGUCGUUUUUCCUCCUUCACAAACUGCAACAACAAACACUAAUUGACACACAUGUACAACCCCGUUUACAUCAGCGAUCUAAUUUGCCAGCUGAUCAAGUCAUUCGGAUAAAAAGGGAGCUAGAUCUCUUACCGGGGGAACGCUCUGGACGGAGGAACGAGCCGUGUACUGAAGCGGGUGGGCGCUCACUGAUCUCGCCGCUCUGUGUUGUUGCUGACUGGAUCUCCUGUACGCUGGUAGAACGGAAUCUCGGAUUCUGCAGUGUCAACGCUCACGAACCCCCGAUUGAAG